AACGAACGCUGGCGGCAGGCUUAACACAUGCAAGUCGAGCGCCCCGCAAGGGGCGCGGCAGACGGGUGCGUAACGCGUGGGAACGUACCUUUUGGUUCGGAACAACUCCGGGAAACUGGAGCUAAUACCGGAUAAGCCCUAACGGGGAAAGAUUUAUCGCCGAAAGAUCGGCCCGCGUCUGAUUAGCUAGUUGGUGAGGUAACGGCUCACCAAGGCGACGAUCAGUAGCUGGUCUGAGAGGAUGAUCAGCCACACUGGGACUGAGACACGGCCCAGACUCCUACGGGAGGCAGCAGUGGGGAAUAUUGGAAAAUGGGCGCAAGCCUGAUCCAGCCAUGCCGCGUGAGUGAUGCAGGCAUUAGGGUUGUAAAGCUCUUUUGUCCGGGAAGAUCAUGACUGUACCGGAAGAAUAAGCCCCGGCUAACUUCGUG
RNAcentral lists this ribosomal RNA (431 nucleotides) under uncultured bacterium. RNAcentral describes it as "partial 16S ribosomal RNA". It matches the Rfam family "Bacterial small subunit ribosomal RNA", at positions 29 to 507 of the family's 1533-position model. The record is from RNAcentral.